GCCUGAUUGGCUCAGUGGUUGAGUGUCUGCCUUUGACUCAGGUUGUGAUCCUGGGGUCCUGGGAUCGAGUCCUGCAUCGGGCU
This 83-nucleotide transfer RNA is filed under the name Canis lupus familiaris (dog). It matches the Rfam family "tRNA". From Rfam's summary of the family: Transfer RNA (tRNA) molecules are approximately 80 nucleotides in length. Their secondary structure includes four short double-helical elements and three loops (D, anti-codon, and T loops). Lineage: Eukaryota; Metazoa; Chordata; Mammalia; Carnivora; Canidae. The record is from Rfam by way of RNAcentral.